Molecule: long non-coding RNA, 369 nt
Organism: Ornithodoros turicata
Lineage: Eukaryota; Metazoa; Arthropoda; Arachnida; Ixodida; Argasidae
Exons: 3
Source: RefSeq, a predicted model, not a curated record
GUCAUCAGGAAAACUGGAUGGUUUUGUUGACCUGGGUCAGUUCACAACUGAAAAGGACAAAGCUGUUCCAGCUGACCACGGUUUAGUACUGCUUUUCCAACCAUUUUCAGGGAAGUGGACACAGAUAGUCGGAGUCUUUGCAUCAUCAGGAAAUGUGAAGGAAAAUAUCCUAUCGAAGAUCAUUAUUGAUGCUAUCCUACAGUGUGAGCAGGCAGGCCUGAAGGUUGACUAUCUCUGUUGUGACGGGGCAGCCUGGAAUCGGAGCAUGUGGAAACGAUUCGGCAUUAAGGCUACAUCCAGCGACAUCAAGUGCUGCGCUCCUCACCCCGUCGACUUGAACAGGUUCCUUUAUUUUGUGUCGGAUUUCCC